AUUGAACGCUGGCGGCAUGCCUUACACAUGCAAGUCGAACGGUAACAGGUCUUCGGAUGCUGACGAGUGGCGAACGGGUGGGUAAUACAUCGGAACGUGCCUAGUAGUGGGGGAUAACUACUCGAAAGAGUGGCUAAUACCGCAUGAGAUCUACGGAUGAAAGCAGGGGAUCGCAAGACCUUGUGCUACUAGAGCGGCCGAUGGCAGAUUAGGUAGUUGGUGGGAUAAAAGCUUACCAAGCCGACGAUCUGUAGCUGGUCUGAGAGGACGACCAGCCACACUGGGACUGGGACACGGCCCAGACUCCUACGGGAGGCAGCAGUGGGGAAUUUUGGACAAUGGGCGCAAGCCUGAUCCAGCAAUGCCGCGUGCAGGAUGAAGGCCUUCGGGUUGUAAACUGCUUUUGUACGGAACGAAAAGCCCCGGGUUAAUACCCUGGGGUCAUGACGGUACCGUAAGAAUAAGCACCGGCUAACUACGUGCCAGCAGCCGCCGUAA
This 498-nucleotide ribosomal RNA is filed under the name uncultured bacterium. Its description in RNAcentral is "partial 16S ribosomal RNA". It matches the Rfam family "Bacterial small subunit ribosomal RNA", at positions 30 to 523 of the family's 1533-position model. The record is from RNAcentral.